CCAAAGUACUGUCUGAAUAAGACUAUACUUUGUGAAAUUCGUUAAGGUUCGAAUCUCGUGAUCAUCGUUAGGUUUGAUAUGGUUUUACACAAAUACGUAUUCCAUUCUGUUAAACUAUAUGUUUAACCAUCAGAAUACUCCCAACUAUACGCUUCCAAUCAAAAUGGAUGCUUAAUCAUCAGAAGAUCCAAAAUAAUAAAGUAUAUGCUUAAUUAUCAGAAGGAGUAGAAUCAAGAAGCUUGUUAGAUCAAUACUGCAUGCUUAUACAGUAAUUACAGUAGAUUGGAGUAAGGAUU
RNAcentral lists this long non-coding RNA (296 nucleotides) under Helianthus annuus (common sunflower). RNAcentral's name for it is "sRNA HanXRQr2_Chr01g0024131". Lineage: Eukaryota; Viridiplantae; Streptophyta; Magnoliopsida; Asterales; Asteraceae. The record is from RNAcentral.